GGCCGAUUAGCUCAGCUGGUUAGAGCGUGGUGCUAAUAACGCCAAGGUCGUCGGUUCGAUCCCGGCAUUGGCCA
Molecule: transfer RNA, 74 nt
Filed under: Fomitopsis schrenkii
Lineage: Eukaryota; Fungi; Basidiomycota; Agaricomycetes; Polyporales; Fomitopsidaceae
Description: tRNA-Ile (AAT) (tRNA-Ile-AAT-1-1)
Rfam family: tRNA
About the family: Transfer RNA (tRNA) molecules are approximately 80 nucleotides in length. Their secondary structure includes four short double-helical elements and three loops (D, anti-codon, and T loops).
Source: RNAcentral